AGUUUGAUCAUGGCUCAGGACGAACGCUGGCGGCGUGCUUAACACAUGCAAGUCGAACGAUGAAGCCGCUUCGGUGGUGGAUUAGUGGCGAACGGGUGAGUAACACGUGGGCAAUCUGCCCUUCACUCUGGGACAAGCCCUGGAAACGGGGUCUAAUACCGGAUAACACUCUGUCCCGCAUGGGACGGGGUUAAAAGCUCCGGCGGUGAAGGAUGAGCCCGCGGCCUAUCAGCUUGUUGGUGGGGUAAUGGCCUACCAAGGCGACGACGGGUAGCCGGCCUGAGAGGGCGACCGGCCACACUGGGACUGAGACACGGCCCAGACUCCUACGGGAGGCAGCAGUGGGGAAUAUUGCACAAUGGGCGAAAGCCUGAUGCAGCGACGCCGCGUGAGGGAUGACGGCCUUCGGGUUGUAAACCUCUUUCAGCAG
RNAcentral lists this ribosomal RNA (430 nucleotides) under Streptomyces griseus. Its description in RNAcentral is "bacterial SSU rRNA". It matches the Rfam family "Bacterial small subunit ribosomal RNA", at positions 10 to 442 of the family's 1533-position model. Lineage: Bacteria; Bacillati; Actinomycetota; Actinomycetes; Kitasatosporales; Streptomycetaceae. The record is from RNAcentral.